AUUCCAGCUCCAAGAACGUAUAUUAAAGAUGCUGCGGUUGGAAAACUCGUAGUUGGAUUUCAGUCUAGGAAGGUCAACUCGCCGAAAGGUUGUACGUCGAUUUUCCUCUGACUUCGCCAGGAGCGCGUGCUGCACUUAACUGUGUGGUACAAUGUUGUGACCUUUUACCUUGAAGAAAAAAGAUUGUUACUGGCAGGCUACCCAGCUUGAAUACAUUAGCAUGGAAUAAUGAAAUGGAUCUCGGUUCGAUUUCGUUGGUUCUAGAGCUGAGGUGAUGAUCAAUAGGAACAGGCGCAGGUAUUCGUACUUGAGAAUGAAGAGUGAAAUCCGAUGAUAACUCGAAGACGAUCCGAAGCAAAAGCAUUUGUCAAGGAUGUUUUCAUCA
This 385-nucleotide ribosomal RNA is filed under the name Eukaryota sp. Its description in RNAcentral is "partial small subunit ribosomal RNA". It matches the Rfam family "Eukaryotic small subunit ribosomal RNA", at positions 582 to 975 of the family's 1831-position model. The record is from RNAcentral.